This 234-nucleotide long non-coding RNA is filed under the name Fukomys damarensis (Damara mole-rat). RNAcentral describes it as "lncRNA (ENSFDAG00000030149.1)". Lineage: Eukaryota; Metazoa; Chordata; Mammalia; Rodentia; Bathyergidae. The record is from RNAcentral.
CAGACGCAAGAGCAGAUGCCUGGUGCCUGCACAUCUCAAUGGCAGCAUCAAGGGCAGGCACCACACAGGCCCCCUCACACCCUCUACUCCCCAGGGCAGCCUAGAGCACAGAAAGGACAGGACGGAAACAGGUGGAUGGAAACAGAUGAAACUGUAGCCAUUGUUGGUACUCUCUGCCCAUGCCCAUGCCUUCUUACUGGGCCUACACCGGAAACAAACCACACAGAGAGAUGA